RNAcentral lists this ribosomal RNA (252 nucleotides) under uncultured bacterium. Its description in RNAcentral is "partial 16S ribosomal RNA". It matches the Rfam family "Bacterial small subunit ribosomal RNA", at positions 524 to 776 of the family's 1533-position model. The record is from RNAcentral.
GACGGAGGAUGCAAGUGUUAUCCGGAAUCACUGGGCGUAAAGCGUCUGUAGGUGGUUUAAAAAGUCCACUGUUAAAGAUUGAAGCUUAACUUCAAAAAUGCCGUGGAAACUUUUAAACUUGAGUAUGAUAGGGGUAGAGGGAAUUCCAGUGGAGCGGUGAAAUGCGUAGAGAUCGGAAAGAACACCAACGGCGAAAGCACUCUGCUGGGCCGACACUGACACUGAGAGACGAAAGCUAGGGGAGCGAAUGGG